This 372-nucleotide small RNA is filed under the name Pongo abelii (Sumatran orangutan). RNAcentral's name for it is "retained intron". The record is from RNAcentral. Lineage: Eukaryota; Metazoa; Chordata; Mammalia; Primates; Hominidae.
UUAAAAGAAUAUUGGCAGAGAAAGAGCCUUGGUGUUCCAGCAGGAGCUAAGAGGAACAGGAAAACAAAUGGCAGUAGCCCUGAAACAGCCACUUCUGGUGGUUGCCAGUCACCUGAGGAUUCAGCAACAGGUGUCCAUGGGGAGGGAUCUACAUCAUCUGCUCCCCUGAAGGAUCUGGAGAGCCCGUGCCAAGAACUAGCAGUCGUCCUGGACUCAAGGUCCGUAAAAAUCAGUAAACUGAAUAACACCAUCAAAUCUUUGAAACAACAGAAGAAACAAGUGGAACAUCAGCUGGAAGAAGUAACGUGAUUUCUUUGUUGCUCGACAUGACUGCUGGUUUGGGGGCACUCAGAUGUAGAAGCCCCAGUCUCG